GGAGCAAUCAUAUUUAAUAGAUUUAUAUAAUUCCAAAGAUGAGGAAACUAUACCGUAAGAUUUAGCAUUUAGAAAAGAAAUGCAAAAUUGUUGAAGGAUCAUCGUCAGUGGUGGCGGUAAUUCGUGAAAUUUCAUAAUAUCAUGACGAAAUGUUGGAGCAG
Apis florea (little honeybee) is the source of this 161-nucleotide long non-coding RNA. The record is from RefSeq and is a predicted model, not a curated record. Lineage: Eukaryota; Metazoa; Arthropoda; Insecta; Hymenoptera; Apidae.